GAUGAACGCUGGCGGCGUGCCUAACACAUGCAAGUCGAACGCUGGCUUAAAACCAACCCCCUUCGGGGGCGCGGUUUUAAUGCUGGAGUGGCGGACGGGUGAGUAACGCGUGGAUAAUCUGGCCUGGACAACGGGAUAACUGUGAGAAAUCACAGCUAAUACGGUAUAAGCUCACGAUGACGCAUGUCGAUGUGAGAAAAGAUUUAUCGGUUCAGGAUGAGUCCGCGUCUGAUUAGCUAGUUGGUAGGGUAAAGGCCUACCAAGGCGACGAUCAGUAGCCGGCCUGAGAGGGUGAACGGCCACAUUGGGACUGAGACACGGCCCAAACUCCUACGGGAGGCAGCAGA
This 347-nucleotide ribosomal RNA is filed under the name uncultured bacterium. RNAcentral describes it as "bacterial SSU rRNA". It matches the Rfam family "Bacterial small subunit ribosomal RNA", at positions 28 to 355 of the family's 1533-position model. The record is from RNAcentral.